AUUGAACGCUGGCGGAAUGCUUUACACAUGCAAGUCGAACGGCAGCACGGGGGCAGCCCUGGUGGCGAGUGGCGAACGGGUGAGUAAUACAUCGGAACGUGCCCGGUCGUGGGGGAUAACGUAGCGAAAGUUACGCUAAUACCGCAUACGAUCUGAGGAUGAAAGCGGGGGACCUUCGGGCCUCGCGCGAUCGGAGCGGCCGAUGUCAGAUUAGGUAGUUGGUGGGGUAAAGGCCUACCAAGCCGACGAUCUGUAGCUGGUCUGAGAGGACGACCAGCCACACUGGGACUGAGACACGGCCCAGACUCCUACGGGAGGCAGCAGUGGGGAAUUUUGGACAAUGGUCGCAAGCCUGAUCCAGCCAUUCCGCGUGCAGGACGAAGGCCUUCGGGUUGUAAACUGCUUUUGUACGGAACGAAAAGGCUCUGGCUAAUACCUGGGGCUCAUGGCGGUACCGUAAGAAUAAGCACCGGCUAACUACGUG
RNAcentral lists this ribosomal RNA (484 nucleotides) under uncultured bacterium. RNAcentral's name for it is "partial 16S ribosomal RNA". It matches the Rfam family "Bacterial small subunit ribosomal RNA", at positions 30 to 507 of the family's 1533-position model. The record is from RNAcentral.